This 253-nucleotide ribosomal RNA is filed under the name uncultured bacterium. RNAcentral's name for it is "partial 16S ribosomal RNA". It matches the Rfam family "Bacterial small subunit ribosomal RNA", at positions 524 to 776 of the family's 1533-position model. The record is from RNAcentral.
UACGGGGGGGGCAAGCGUUGUUCGGAAUUACUGGGCGUAAAGGGCGCGUAGGCUGUGCUGUAAGUCAGGCGUGAAAGCCCCGGGCUCAACCUGGGAAUUGCGCUUGAUACUGCGGCGCUGGAAGGUGGGAGAGGAUGGCGGAAUUCCCAGUGUAGAGGUGAAAUUCGUAGAUAUUGGGAAGAACCCCGGUGGCGAAGGCGGCCAUCUGGCCCACAAUUGACGCUGAGGCGCGAAAGCGUGGGGAGCAAACGGG